Molecule: non-coding RNA, 322 nt
Filed under: Nostoc sp. PC3
Lineage: Bacteria; Bacillati; Cyanobacteriota; Cyanophyceae; Nostocales; Nostocaceae
Description: partial transfer RNA-Leu
Rfam family: Group I catalytic intron (bases 1-281)
About the family: Group I catalytic introns are large self-splicing ribozymes. They catalyse their own excision from mRNA, tRNA and rRNA precursors in a wide range of organisms. The core secondary structure consists of 9 paired regions (P1-P9).
Source: RNAcentral
AGAUAACUGAGCCUUGAAGGAGAAAUCCCUCAAGUGGAAGCUCUCAAACUCAGGGAAACCUAAAUCUGGUUACAGACAUGGCAAUCCUGAGCCAAGCCCAAAAAUUUUAGAUUUGCGAUUUUAGAUUUGCGAUUAAUCUUCAAUCCAAAAUUCAAAAUCGUUCGACUGAGCGAAGCCGAAGUCUAAAAUCCAAAAUUGAGGGAAGGUGCAGAGACCCGACGGGAGCUACCCUAACGUUAAGUCGAGGGUAAAGGGAGAGUCCAAUUCUCAAAAUCUGAUCUGGCUAUUGUCAUCAGGUAGCAGUGAAAACUGCGGGAGAAUG